This 432-nucleotide ribosomal RNA is filed under the name uncultured bacterium. RNAcentral describes it as "partial 16S ribosomal RNA". It matches the Rfam family "Bacterial small subunit ribosomal RNA", at positions 29 to 506 of the family's 1533-position model. The record is from RNAcentral.
AACGAACGCUGGCGGCAUGCCUAACACAUGCAAGUCGAACGAGACCUUCGGGUCUAGUGGCGCACGGGUGCGUAACGCGUGGGAACCUGCCCUUAGGUUCGGAAUAACUCCCCGAAAGGGGUGCUAAUACCGGAUAAUGUCUUCGGACCAAAGAUUUAUCGCCUUUGGAUGGGCCCGCGUUGGAUUAGCUAGUUGGUAGGGUAAAAGCCUACCAAGGCGACGAUCCAUAGCUGGUCUGAGAGGAUGAUCAGCCACACUGGGACUGAGACACGGCCCAGACUCCUACGGGAGGCAGCAGGGGGGAAUAUGGGACAAUGGGCGAAAGCCUGAUCCAGCAAUGCCGCGUGAGUGAUGAAGGCCUUAGGGUUGUAAAGCUCUUUUACCCGGGAUGAUAAUGACAGUACCGGGAGAAUAAGCUCCGGCUAACUCCGU